AAAAAAUCAUUGAUCAGGAAUAGUAGCUAAUGAUCUUAGUUUCAGAGAGUUGAGGAUGGUGGGAUCUCAAUACGUUAGACUUUAGUGAAUGGACCUGUUAGAUGUAAACCGAAAUCUAUUUUUGGAGAGUAGUCUUUACCGUGUUUCGCACGUUAUAGCGAUAGGAUAUGUUAGUAUCUGAAAUGAGAUAUGUUUAAGUAUAUAGAUAUUUAAAUUUGUAUCUAUACCUUAAGCAUAAUAUAGGUGGCAACGCGAAUGACACUUCGCCCUAUUA
This is a non-coding RNA of 274 nucleotides. It matches the Rfam family "T-box leader". Rfam says of the family: Uncharged tRNA acts as the effector for transcription antitermination of genes in the T-box leader family. T-boxes are found upstream of many aminoacyl-tRNA synthetase genes and some amino acid biosynthetic genes usually in Gram-positive bacteria.